AGAGUUUGAUCAUGGCUCAGGACGAACGCUGGCGGCGUGCUUAACACAUGCAAGUCGAGCGGUAAGGCACCUUCGGGUGUACACGAGCGGCGAACGGGUGAGUAACACGUGAGUAACCUGCCCUUCUCAUCGGAAUAAGCGUUGGAAACGACGUCUAAUGCCGAAUAUGACCUCGGAAGGCAUCUUCUGAGGUGGAAAGCUCCGGCGGAGAAGGAUGGACUCGCGGCCUAUCAGCUUGUUGGUGAGGUAAUGGCUCACCAAGGCGACGACGGGUAGCCGGCCUGAGAGGGUGACCGGCCACACUGGGACUGAGACACGGCCCAGACUCCUACGGGAGGCAGCAGUGGGGAAUAUUGGACAAUGGGCGAAAGCCUGAUCCAGCAACGCCGCGUGAGGGAUGACGGCCUUCGGGUUGUAAACCUCUUUCAGUAGGGACGAAGCGAAAGUGACGGUACCUACAGAAGAAGGACCGGCCAACUACGUGCCAGCAGCCGCGGUAAUACGUAGGGUCCGAGCGUUGUCCGGAAUUAUUGGGCGUAAAGGGCUCGUAGGCGGUUAGUCACGUCGGGAGUGAAAACUCAGGGCUCAACCCUGAGCGUGCUUCCGAUACGGGCUGACUAGAGGUAUGCAGGGGAGAACGGAAUUCCUGGUGUAGCGGUGGAAUGCGCAGAUAUCAGGAGGAACACCGAUGGCGAAGGCAGAUCUCUGGGCCGUAACUGACGCUGAGGAGCGAAAGCGUGGGGAGCGAACAGGAUUAGAUACCCUAGUAGUCC
This 773-nucleotide ribosomal RNA is filed under the name uncultured bacterium. Its description in RNAcentral is "bacterial SSU rRNA". It matches the Rfam family "Bacterial small subunit ribosomal RNA", at positions 8 to 796 of the family's 1533-position model. The record is from RNAcentral.